Molecule: ribosomal RNA, 20 nt
Filed under: Dalbergia lanceolaria
Lineage: Eukaryota; Viridiplantae; Streptophyta; Magnoliopsida; Fabales; Fabaceae
Description: partial large subunit ribosomal RNA
Source: RNAcentral
CGCGACCUCAGGUCAGGCGG